AUUGAACGCUGGCGGAAUGCUUUACACAUGCAAGUCGAGCGGCAGCGCGGGGCAACCUGGCGGCGAGCGGCGAACGGGUGAGUAAUGCAUCGGAACAUGUCCAUGUCGUGGGGGAUAGCCCGGCGAAAGCCGGAUUAAUACCGCAUACGCUCGAGAGAGGAAAAGCCGGGGGAACCGCAAAGGCCUGGCGCGAUUGGGUUGGCCGAUGUCCGAUUAGCUAGUUGGUGAGGUAAAGGCUUACCAAGGCGAUGAUCGGUAGCUGGUCUGAGAGGAUGAUCAGCCACACUGGGACUGAGACACGGCCCAGACUCCUACGGAGGCAGCAGUGGGGAAUUUUGGACAAUGGGGGCAACCCGUGAUCCAGCCAUUCCGCGUGAGUGAAGAAGG
Molecule: ribosomal RNA, 387 nt
Filed under: uncultured bacterium
Lineage: Bacteria
Description: bacterial SSU rRNA
Rfam family: Bacterial small subunit ribosomal RNA
Source: RNAcentral